RNAcentral lists this ribosomal RNA (253 nucleotides) under uncultured bacterium. RNAcentral's name for it is "partial 16S ribosomal RNA". It matches the Rfam family "Bacterial small subunit ribosomal RNA", at positions 524 to 776 of the family's 1533-position model. The record is from RNAcentral.
UACAGAGGGUGCGAGCGUUAAUCGGAGUUACUGGGCGUAAAGGGCGCGUAGGCGGUUAUGUGAGUGUGAUGUGAAAGCCCUGGGCUUAACCUAGGAAGUGCAUCGCAAACGACAUGACUGGAGUAUAUGAGAGGGUGGCGGAAUUUCCGGUGUAGCGGUGAAAUGCGUAGAGAUCGGAAGGAACGUCGAUGGCGAAGGCAGCCACCUGGCAUAAUACUGACGCUGAGGCGCGAAAGCGUGGGGAGCGAACAGG